This 468-nucleotide ribosomal RNA is filed under the name uncultured bacterium. Its description in RNAcentral is "partial 16S ribosomal RNA". It matches the Rfam family "Bacterial small subunit ribosomal RNA", at positions 28 to 507 of the family's 1533-position model. The record is from RNAcentral.
GACGAACGCUGGCGGCGUGCUUAACACAUGCAAGUCGAACGGAAAGGCCCUGCUUUUGUUGGGUGCUCGAGUGGCGAACGGGUGAGUAACACGUGAGUAACCUGCCCCUGACUUUGGGAUAACUUCAGGAAACUGGGGCUAAUACCGGAUAGGAGCUCCUGCUGCAUGGUGGGGGUUAGAAAGUUUCGGCGGUUGGGGAUGGACUCGCGGCUUAUCAGCUUGUUUGUGGGGUAGUGGCUUACCAAGGCUUUGACGGCUAGCCGGCCUGAGAGCGUGACCGGCCACAUUGGGACUGAGGUACGGACCAGAAUCCUACGGGAGGCAGAAGUGGGGAAUAUUGCACAAUGGGCGGAAGCCUGAUGCAGCAACGCCGCGUGCGUGAUAACGGCCUUCGGGUUGUAAACAGCUUUCGACUGUGACGAAGCGGGAGUGACGGUACUGGGUAAGGAAGCACCGGCUAACUACGUG